This is a non-coding RNA of Zootermopsis nevadensis, 894 nucleotides long. The record is from RefSeq and is a predicted model, not a curated record. Lineage: Eukaryota; Metazoa; Arthropoda; Insecta; Blattodea; Termopsidae.
UCGAAGGUAAUUAGAACGCUGGUUAAGUGAGACUUUUAGGAUUUCUCCAUAUGCUAAAUAUUUUAUUUCAAAUUGUACUUUAAAUUACUGCCACCAUAGCCGUGUUACACGUCUUCAGAGAACCAAAAUUAAUUUCAGUUUUAACAUUUUCUACCAAAAUGUGCAGACCUAACACUUGUAUUCUUUUACAACGUGCUGUGUCAUGUAUACAGGGUGUUUGAGCAAAAACAUAUGUAAUCCAUCCAGAUAAAUGUGUAAGUGGAAGUCUAUUUUUAUUUUGAGGUUCAUUCACUGUCAGUAUAUUGAAAUAAAUUAUAUGUGUGUACAGUACUUUGAUGACAUGUUUGUGAUAUGAGCACUGUUUUAUAUUUUAUCUUUGUUUUUAUGUUAUUAAAUUUCAUAUGAAGUAAUCCAAAUGAUAUAUAUGAUACACAUCUUUCACACUCAAAGUAGAUCUUGCUGACAUUUGAGAGGCGCUCUCUGCCAUCACAUGAAGACGCAGGCAGUAAGCUCCAAUGAUUGCAAGGUAACAACAAUGCCGAGUAAGCAGAUGACGUUUCCUAGGCCACUGCGAGCAGCCUGUGAAGCCAUCCUCACUGUGUGGUCAAGUGUUUGUCCCACAGAAGUAAGUUACUGUUUACCGAUGACUGUGAUGACCUUUGAUGAAUCUGCGGAGAGCGUAAAAGGCGGGAGACGUCACACGCAUGCACAGCGCACGACCUAGCCCCGGGUCUUUCAGCUUAUAUGACAACUUCUUUUCAUAAAAUUCCCGUGGGACAAUGCUUGUGUGUCGAAAAAAGGGCGUAACCAUUUAUCAGUCUGCGUUGGUACUAAUAAAAGGAGGAUUGUGCCAUAUAUGUAUCACUCCUGUCACGACCUUCCUUGUAAACCCCC